GAAAUGCGAGACGUAAUGCGAAUUGCAGAUCAACGCGAGUCAUCGAAUUUUUGAACGCACAUUGCGCCCUCUGGUAUUCCGGAGGGCACGCCCGUCCGAGUGUCAUUUCCACCUCAAGCUUCGGGCUUGUCGUUGGGCACCGCCCUCUAUAUGGGCGCGCCUCAAACGCAUCGGCGCCUCCGAGGGGCCCCUAGCGCACAGAGCCUAACCGCCCGCGCUUCGGGGCCCGCUAGGGGGCCGCCUCUCUGCCCAAGGGCAACUUUACACACCCGCAUGGCCUCGGAUCGGGCGGGGUUACCCGCUGAACUUAA
RNAcentral lists this unclassified non-coding RNA (311 nucleotides) under uncultured Ascomycota. RNAcentral describes it as "sequence contains ITS1". The stretch from base 1 to 105 matches the Rfam family "5.8S ribosomal RNA", at positions 50 to 154 of the family's 154-position model. Lineage: Eukaryota; Fungi; Ascomycota. The record is from RNAcentral.